UAGGAUAGAAAUCAGUUCCAACACUACGAUAAACAGCGAGCAAUACGAAGACAGAUCACAAAAUCUGCGAUCUAAAUAAAAGGCUUGGUCAUUGGCACUGGGGGGAGGGAAAGAGGGAAUGGGGGGAGAGGUGAGGGUAGGGGUUAUAGGGGGAGGGAAAGAGGGAAUGGGGGGAGAGGUGAGGGGUUAUAGGGGGAGGGAAAGAGGGAAUGGGGGAGAGGUGAGGGUAGGGGUUAUAGGGGGAGAGGUGAGGGGUUAUAGGGGGAGGGAAAGAGGGAAUGGGGGGAGAGGUGAGGGGUUAUAGGAGAGAAAAGUGUUUUUGUUGUUGGUUUUUUUUCAUAGAAAGUGGUGGCCAUUGUGCUGUGACUAUACAAUUAUAGAAAGGUCUGUGUGUAAGUCUUUCUGAGCUCUU
Long non-coding RNA from Oncorhynchus keta (chum salmon), 412 nucleotides. RefSeq lists it as uncharacterized. The record is from RefSeq and is a predicted model, not a curated record. The transcript has 3 exons. NCBI's taxonomy places the organism in Eukaryota, Metazoa, Chordata, Actinopteri, Salmoniformes, Salmonidae.